GCCAGGCCAGCAUCUCGCAGAGGACAGCUGCACGGGUCUUCCUGCCUUCCUCCAGCCACCUCCAGCCCUACAGGAGAGGACUGGAAACAAAUGUUAUGUGGACAAAAACUAACAUGGUUCCCUGUUAAAAAGACCACACAAACGAUGUCUGUCUUGCUUCAAAGAAAAAACUGAGAACGUCAGUGUCCUGUGGUAUUGCAUGGAGCUGUAAAUUCAUGUAGAGCAGACGGCAGGCAACCUCAUGUGGCCUGGCUUGGAGACCAGG
Panthera uncia (snow leopard) is the source of this 265-nucleotide long non-coding RNA. RefSeq lists it as uncharacterized. The record is from RefSeq and is a predicted model, not a curated record. The transcript has 3 exons. NCBI's taxonomy places the organism in Eukaryota, Metazoa, Chordata, Mammalia, Carnivora, Felidae.